Anas platyrhynchos (mallard) is the source of this 10289-nucleotide non-coding RNA. NCBI's taxonomy places the organism in Eukaryota, Metazoa, Chordata, Aves, Anseriformes, Anatidae. The record is from RefSeq and is a predicted model, not a curated record.
AGACUGCAAGAAAGCACAUUGCCUGUGAAUUUUGGGUGUGCUGCUCCUCCCAAAGGGACUGAGCAGGGGGGGCUGGGGCUGUGCAGCCUCACGUGUCUGAAAGGUCCCACGGCAGCGAUGGGCAUGGAGAGGUAGACAUGACCCUAAGCCCUCCUCCCCCCUUAGAAAAGCACCCUCUGGUCUUAGCACACAGGCACCUGUUGCACUUACUUGCUGCUUUGGGAGGAUAUUUGCUUCUUGCAGCUUCAGCUGAGAGGAAGCAGAGCAGGAAGAUGAACGGCAGUGAAGUCAUUUUGCUUACAUUCCCUGGAAAAGGCACAGAAGUUGGCGAAUAGUCACACUUGUAAAGGGAUUAACUGAUCGAGUCGCCUAAUAAUCCAUACGCCUGGAGGGUAAGAGUUGUGGCUAUUAGAGCUAGGGAAAAACACCACGUUUAAUUACUUUAGUCAAACCAUUUAAUGUGCAAUGGGGAGCUGAUGUCUGCACUUGCCCAUGUUGCUGCAUGGCACUGCGACUGCCUGGGGGUCUGAAACCAAGGCAGCAAUCCUCAGCCAUGUAAAAGGAAGGGACCUGCCUUUACCACAAAGCCAGUUAAUGCGAGGCUUGCAAGGCAGUGAUGUAGCCAUUGGAGCAGGAUGCCCCAGGGACAGUGGUGAUAUGAGCAGCACAAGAAACUCUUUUGGCCAAACCAGAAGAGACCUGAUUCCAAGUCAGAGGUGACAUCUGGUUUGUGAAUCAGAACAGCCCAUCACAAGGCUGAAGUCCAAAGAUGGCCCAAAAGCUGCUGAGCCCAAGCAGGCCAGGAGUUCAGGUGGUGGCUCGGAGCUAGGCUGCUCGCUGCCUUGCCAGGGUAAUGCCACUUGAAAUAGUUUGUUGUUUGUGCCGUGAAAGGAAGGCUUGUUCCCUCCUGAGCCUGGGUGCCAAAACCACUCCUUGAGAAAACCUGCUUUUGUAGAGCAGAGUUCCUGUCCAAAGCCAGUAUUUAGUUUCAUACCAUUGCUUUCCUGUUUUCUUCAAGAACGUGGAAACAUUGGGUUUUUCUUUCCUUGGCUGCUGAUAAAGUCAGGGUGCAGAGAUUUAAACCCCCCAGAGAAUCACUGGUACAUCUGACCAAAACUACUGCACCAAAACUAAAUCCUAGCCAAAGUGAUGGCUGGUGGGAAUGCCAAGCCAAGCUGCCUGUUUCUUGAAAUGUGUCCCCAGCCAGCAGGAUGAAUAUUUCUGAUCUUUCCAUGUCUUGUUCUGACUGAUGGCGCAGGGAAAGCCAAGGCUUUUAAUUCCCUAAGUGGUUUUCCCUGGCCCGAACCGAGUGUGCUGCAGGACACUGCGUGGUGCUGUGGUGAGAGGAUGCACUUCUGAGCACAAAUGUUGAUCUACCUGUUUAUUAUUCCAAGCUCUAGAGAUGACAGAUGCCAAGGAAAGUCUUUAUGAAUGUUCACAGGAAUUUGAUUUCAGGGCAUCAGGUGACAGGUUUUAUUUUAUGAGGGGUAAUUCCCAGCAGAAGAAAAAUGCCUUCGCUUCCGUGUUAAGAUGAAAGGUGUUCUGUUGUUCUUUCUUCCUUGUAUUGUGAUUUCUAAUUGCUCAGUGUCCACUUGUCUAUGGUUAAUAAUUUACUCACUGAGCAUGAAAAAUGCUUUUUCAUACAUAUCCCCGAGGUAGCCAGCAAGGCAAACAAAGCACGCUGUGCCAAAGGCAAACAGCGCAGCACAGCAAGGCCCCGCUUUGCCCCCCGCUGCCCUCCCGCCCCCACCGGGCACUGCCAGCUGUGGUGGCAAGGGGCAAGGACAGGUCCCAGUCCAGAUUUUCCCCUUCUUGGUAAAAUUUGUGUGAUCGGUUGCUCUGACUCCUUCCUGAAGCAAUCAGCUGUGUCAGGGUUACCGACUGCAGCAUCUUGCCAGGCGGGGAAGGAUUACGGAGACCUCGCUUGGAAAUGAAGAUCGAGCAGUGUGAAAGAACACAAAGAUGUGUGCAAGAGUGGUGGCAGCGAGGUCUGCGUGUGUGCGAGCAGGAGAGGAUUUGGGCAUCCUUCUCCAACUUGUGCCUACACGAGAGUGACAGCUUGUGUGUGCUGCCACCAGCAACGUGUGGCUCCGACUGCCCCUGGUCCUGCUCUCUGGCACCAACGCCCUCCCUGCUUGCUGAAUGGAGGCAGCAAGUCCCAGCAGGCACGGCCGCCUCUUACGCAAAAAGCUCUGCCGGGCACUUGCACACCAACCCCCUGAGCGGGGCGAGUGGAAACCCCCUGCCCUGCACGCCGAGUGAUGCUGCCCGGCCUCCCCGGAGAUGCUGGGGCAGAAUUCCUAACAGCCUGCUGCUAAAACAGCUCCUGCUGCUAAAACAGCUCCUGCUGCUCCUUGCUUUCAGAGAACUUUUGCUGCUGCCUCGGCUGCCUGCAGUCAGAGCGUGAGACUCAAACCUCAGAGCCCAGAUAAGGGAAAGGCUGCUGAGCUGGUGUGAAAGGGCGUGCAAGUAAGUGGCUGUGCAAGGGACCUGCAUUAGUGCUGCUGCUGGUGGGGGGUGUUAGAGAGGAGGUGGGACAGCAAAUGGCUGCAGGGGGCUGUGAGAGAGUCAGGAGGCUUGAAGCAGAGUGUGCUGCCUGCAGGGUAUCUGGGAAGCAAGUUUAUGGCAUGGACGUGGGGUUGGAGAUUAUCUGCAUGUGUCUGGCAGCAACAGCUCCUUCAAGGAAAAUGCAGGAAUUCACCCCAGGCAGUGAUGCUGUGACUGGUCCUGGGAGGGCCCUCGAGUCCUUGGGGGGAGGUCUGAGGUCUGACAUGAAGCGUGGGGCUGGUGCAGUGCUCCCAGCAUCUUCCAGCAGAAGCCACUUACCCCCUGCACGGGGGAUAAUAUCCCUGCUGCUUUUGUCGAUGCAGGAGAAGGGCUUUUUCUUUGGGAUGCUCAUCCCAGUGCUUUGCAUGUGCUGCCUUAGCCUCGCGUAUUAAAAACUGAGAGAGAAACUGCGUGGGAGGUGGUGCCAUGGGCUGGCCAGGAGGGAAGGCAGAGAGGGAGCCCGGGGGAAGGUUCCCGCUGGGAAGGCGUCUCCAAAGCAGGUCUGCAGCACGGGGCAAAGAUACCACAGGUGGGAAAUGCCAAGCUGGCAGAGCCUCCUCCAGCCCUUUUGGAUCAAUUUUCGUGGGUGUUGGGACAUUGGUCUGGAGUAGUUAUGGCAUGAGGCAUCCCUGGGCUUGGUUUCCUGGUCUACCGUGUGUGGGCAUUUCCCUGGAUCCCCCAUGCCGAAAGCACUGCAGGGGCUGUCAGGGUUGGGACCAUCGCCUUCCUCUCCAGCUGUGUGGCAGGCCUGAAUUCUGAAAUGAUGCUUUCAGGUUCCUGGCAUAAAAUGCUGGGGGAGCAGGGGCUCUCAAACCAUGUUAGCUCUUCUAAAUAUUACAAGACCUUCCCUGGGUUUCCACGGUGCUUUUGCAACUCUGAGCACUCGGGAGGAAUGUCUUCAGAUAUAUAAUGGUGCAGAGGAGAUUGGGACCUGAACCGAGUUAUGCAAACGCAAGCAAGCAGCUGCUCUGACUGGGUAAAAAAAAAAAAAUCAGAUCAAUUCCCAAAUUCUGCUGUCUCAGCUGCUGGGUUGAGCUUUGAGAAACUGGCGCUCUCACAGUGCGGCUUGCCAGGGAUCAACAGGCCAAUCUAUUAGCCAUUAACUACUGCUCUUAACAACGACCAGUGUCAAGGAUGUGCCAUGGGACCAAUGAAACACGAAGAGUUCACUGCCAUGCUUCUGAUUUCACUGCAGGAACCUUCUGCUUUGCGGAAAGUCUGCUGGUAUUCACGCAUUUAAGGAACAGCAGACGGAAUGGAGCAAUGGGCAUUUUUGCCCCUCAAAUCCUUUUAAAGACAGACCGACUAACACCAUGAGUGAGCUGCACAGAUGCAAACCGUUGCAGACGUACGUGGCGCUGAGCAGCAGCACCAGGACUGGGCAGUGAGGAGGAGCUGGGGUGAUUUGUGGAGGCGCCUGGCAGCAGGACACAGCAGCGGCCAUCCUGCUGAGCAGCCCCGGGGCUCUCCACAUCCUCCUAAAUUGCUGCACUGGUGGCCGUAUUGCCAGAGUUAUUUGCUAGAGUGGGAGGGGAAAAGCCGUCCGUCCGCUUGGAUAGCGCACGCUCAUUGUGCUCUGUGGAGGUGAGCGAGCAGUGAGCUCCUGAAGAUAAAAGAUCAGCCUGACCUAAACACACGCAGAAAAUUUCUGCUUCCAAACUGAUGCCCGCUUUGCAACAUGGAAAGAGUAAACAGGAUGUGCUGAUUUUAUGAUAGGCUGAGCAGAGAUAGCUAGGCAGAUCUGAUCAAAAGUUAUCAGGACUUGCAAUGAAAUCAACCGUCUCUAGGAAUUUCUGCAGUCCCGUAACCUUCCUAGUUAAGGAUCUGUGUUUGUUCCAGCUAAAUGCUGUGCUAAGCGAGCACUAUAUUCUGGAAAACAAAUGGAAAAGACUGGCCAGAUAAUCCUUAUUAAUGACUGAAAUUUCCACUGAGGUUGUCCUGAUGACCUAAUUUUAAGUGCCCGUAAGCUGUUAGAUGCACUGUCUACUGGUUUGUUACUCUUCAGAUAGGAUUCUCAUGGUUCACUCGUUUCUUACUGUUUGUUUCUUGAGCUGGAAAGUGAAACCAACUUUGGCACUAUUAAACUGUUAUUGUAGCUUAAAACUAUUCAUGUUCCUGGAAUUUGUGCUAACCCAAAGCAAUUACUGUACUGCUACGGAGUGUGCUGUAGAAGUUUGGGUGGAUGGAAAGCAUCAGAGCACCCGUCCUUAGCAGCAGCACAAUUGCAGUUAGGAGGUAUUUUUUCACUGUACUUCAGACAAAAUAAAUCAGGUCCUUCUGGAGGUAAGAAUUUAGGCCUGCAGAAACCCAGCCCUUUGCUGUGGUACAAGGCAGAGGAGUCUGUCAGCUUUGUCUCCCCUGUUUUAGGGCUCUGUGUCCACCCCAUGCCCUUAUGCUGCGGUAUCUAUUUAUCUGCCCUUUAACUGUACACGUUUGGUAGCUUUUCAGAGCUCUUUCAGGAGUUAGCCCUACCAAUUCCCUUCCUAAAUUUCCAAAUCCAUCUCCUUAUGACCAUCGCAGUGCUGUGAUACAAAAAGUCAUAAUGACCACAGACUGAGUUGCAGCAGUUCAGAUUACUGCAGUUGUAUUUACUAACAUUUGUCAUUUUCUAUGUUAAAACAUAAUGCAAAUAUUGUAAUGAUAAUUACCUUAUAGCCAGAAAGGGAAGAUUAAAAGUCUAAGGCAAAGAAGAAAAAGUAAAAAUUACAAGCUUGAUCCUAUUUCUCUGACUGUCUUCUAAAGUAAAACUUUCUCCUCACCAGCAAGAGCUUCACGUCCAUUUACUGCUGCUUCAAAGCGAGUUCCCUGCGCACAUGUGAGGGGAAGGGACCUGAACUGCCCCGUGCUUUGUGCUCUGCUCCUUCUGUAUCUUACAGUGCAGAAGAUUUCAUGCUUUAGGAGGAAAAUGAAGAAGCUUUACUCACACUUCAGGUUACUCCUGCAGACUGCUUUGCACUUCUUGCUUUCUCCUUCAGGCUGGCUUUGCUGGUACCUUGGCAGCUGACCCCGGGACCUCCUGGCUGUGCGUGGGUGUCUGUCUGUCCUGCCUCCCCGCUGCGGCUGGACACUGAGCUCGGGCAGUGCCAGCCUGUUUUAAAUACUCCUCGUACCUCCAGCCAUGCAUUUCCACCUGUUGUGCCUUAAAGGAAUAGCAUCCGAGAGCCUCGCAGGUGCACAGGGUGCCACGUGGGAGCGGGGACAGCCAAUGCCCGUCCCGGCACCGCUGACACUUGGCAGGGCAGCGGGCGCACGUCGCUGUUUGCCUCCUGAUUACACCCUCCCGUUGUGCAACCAAGAGUGGGCUCUGGCCUCGGCCGUGGGCGCUGCCCUGGCACUUCCACUGCCUUCGGGCAGGAUGUUUGCCCAACGCAGCCAGGUUUAGGGUCAGGAACAUGGGUAGGCUGCUGCUGUGCCGGCAGUGGGUACCCGCAAGGCAGCUUGUGGCUGCCCUGCCUGCAGAGCAAUAGUUUUGUAGGGAAAACCUGUGCAAAACCAUUUUUUUUUCCCACUGGUUUUCCAUUUUGUUUUUGGAAAGCAGUGCCCUAAGCAGGCCCGGGCUCGUUGUAUCUCCUGGCAGAGCAGGUUGGCCUCGCUGGGAGGGCAGCUCUGCCCCCAGCCCCUCUGCCUCCCCACUGCCCCGCGGGCAGAGCAGGAGCCCGGGUGGGCCAAGGCUGGCUUCGUCUGUGCAAAACGAGAACACGGCAAGUUCUUUAAAUUGAAAAAUCCGCAGGUGCUCUGCUGCCAUCUUCAGCUUUGUCGCUUUGCUAUCCUGCUGUAGGCAUGCGAGGGGCCCGUGCAAGAAUUCUCCUGCAAAGACUGAGGUUGUCAGAAAUUGAAUGGUAUGAGAAACUAGAAUUAAUGAAAAUGGAAGCGUUUGUUGUGUAGGAUGAAUCGUUAACCUGCUUUACCUUGUACUAAUGAUUCAAAAGCAGUAAUUUCAUUUAACUUGGGGGGUCACAUGAAGCUUUUCUCCUCUACUCAUAGGGAAAGCUGAGGAGUUCAAGCAGGACGGCACCUCUGGGCAAUCCUGCCCUAGCUGAGAGCAGGUGGGAUCCUGACCUGGGGCUGGGACAUCCUACAGCUUGUCAGACCCUACAGCCAUCUGGAAGCACCUUUCCUCUCACCGAGGGUGCCGAGCUCCUCCGCAGGAAGGCUCAGCCAUUGCGGCAGGGCAGGAGCUGCCGUGGGGAGCGCGGCCGUGCCCGAACCCACACAGAGUGCACUGCGGGGUCUGGGAUCGGGUCCAGCCGUGGUCACUCUCCCCGGCAGGAAUAACACCCGUCCCUUUGCAAGCCGUGUCCUUCCCACCACUGCUCCGCUGGCCGCGGCUGGCAUGGCUGAUUUGAGUUCCUGGGCAUGGAGUUGCAACUGGCCAUGAUAAACACAGGUGUGUUUGCCUUUCCUACAGCUCCCAUUCCUGUGGGCACCUUUCCCUUUUGGAUGCCAGGGGGUUCCCCACCCGGCUGCUCUGGCCCUGCAGGUUGCCCCGAGAUGUGCAGAAGCACCGAGGAAGGCGGUGUGGCCUCGGGCAGGUGAAGAAGCCCUGGCAGAAACCAGCCCAUGGGGACCUGCAGCCACUUGUGAAUCUCAGGCAAGAAGAGGUAGUCCCAGGUGGGGAUUAACAGUUUCUUUAGGCAAGGCACUGUCUUCGCCCUUGAAGUUUCUGGUAAAACUGAUCUAUUGUCUCCAAACAAGAUGGAAUUACGCAAAUAUAUUUACUUGCUUUAACAGACAAGGAAAUGUCCUUCUGCCAAGUCACAGGUUCCAAAGCACUUUGGCUUCUCCAGAGAACAAACAACCCCUACCUUGCUUUUUUGGAGGAGCCAAAGCGCAGUAUACAGCAUGGGAUGUAAUCUGAGCAUGCACACCAAAACUACUGGUUUGGUCUGAGCUUCCUUCCCAUCAGGAAGCUCAGCUGCUACAAGAGGCAUUAAGGGCUGCACACACGAGUAGCUUGGUUAGAUGCCUUGUUUAAUUCUCUACAAACCACAAACAAGUGACGUUUGGGCAGCCUGCAGUGAUUCAGAUUUGGACCUGCUGCACAGGAUACUCAGCUUCAGAGUGGGGAGCAAGGAAAAUAUGGUGCUGUGUGCCUUGGGGUUUAUCGCGAUGCCUCAGCUUUUGAUAAAGAAGCUCUGGUCUUAUGUAUGGAGUGGUUUGACAGCUGGGAGUUCUGCCUUAUUUUCCUCAAGUCUUGAUCAAUUGUGCUGAAAAGUGUUCUUUUCCUCACAGGAUCCCUGUAAAAACAGAAGAAAAGCUGUUACCGUGGUAUUGCCUCUGCAAUAUUUUUAAUGGUGUUUGUUUUUUAUGCCUAACAGGUAUUUUAAAUGGGUCUGAUAUUUCAGGAAGUCCUGAGAACACAAACUUUUUUUUUGCACAGGGUAGGAGGGGACUUCUGGAAUCCACCCUCAUACUCCAAUUAAGAGGGCAGUUAGGCCAAAGUUUUUGAACUACUAUUACACCAAGUGAUUAUUUUUUUAAUGGAGGAGAAUGCAUUUCUCUGAUACGAGUUUCUACGAAUUGUGCAUAUUUUAAAUUAUCUUCCCAGAUGUUUUCUGUAAGAGAUUCUUGCUGAAGAUUAGCUCCAUGACAGCUCCACUGCUUUCAUAUUUUGCCAGAAGACAGACACUUACGCAUAAGCUGGUCCUCCUGAACCUUCCAAGGAUAGCAUAGAUUAUCCUGCAGAUGUAAGGCAAAAAAAAAAAAGAAUAUGAUUGCAACAUAAUGAACAAGAAUUGCUUCUGUGUAAUACUGCAAGAGGUUCCAAGUAAUCAGAUUUUGUUGGAACAAGCAAGCAGGAAGAGUGAUAACAUGCUUACUAUGUGUAGGCAAUAAGUUAUCAUCAAUGCUAUAAUAAAUUUAUAAAGCUCAUAAAGGAUUUAAUCAAAUUAUUUUGAAAUCUAUGGCUCAAUGUCUGUUGGUAAGGAAUAAGGACAACAGUUCCACAUCUGAUCAUCUAUCCUGGAUCGCAGGGUUGCAAUUCCUGGACUGCAAACCCAACGUCUGUCCCAUGGAGACAUUUUACACGCGCAGUGGCAGAUCCUCUGCCUAAAAUAUGGUUUUACUCUCUUCUGCCAAGGGAGCCAACAUUUGCAGCACCAGUUUCAGAAAACACCCACCGACAUUUGCUCGAGUCUGUCUUGCAUCCGUUCGCUUCAGCUGGGCUCCCGGUUUCCUCCAUUUGCUUUUUUGCGGGGUUUAGACCAGCCUGAACCAGCACAGCUUCUGCAUGUCCCAGGAUGCUUCUUUCUUGUCCUUAACAAAAAAAUAUGCUUGCAACGGAAGGCAAAAGCUCCUCUAAAGCCUAUUUAAAUUUAUGAGCAUGUUGUUACAGACAUUGGAUUAGGCUCAUUGUUUCCCGGUUUCGUUCUUGUAAAUAAUUGUGUUUUUAUUCACCAUUGUUCCCACUGAAGGUUUUUGGCCCUAAAUUUCUAACCAGAGACACAGCGUGUUGUAGAAUAAUGUAUACGUAUGUUUUUUUUGACAGUUUUUAACAAAGAGUUUCUGGUAUGUCUUUUUCAGCCGUGCACUGAAUGGGCUGGAUUCGGCCCCGCGGAGCUGCCCGGCUCACAGCUGCUCGCACGGCACAGGUCCCUGCCCUUUAUGCUCAGGAUUUCCGAGCACUCUUGGAGCUGUAAAACUGUUCAAUGCACAAAAAGCAGCCACACUUUUGGUAGUUCUCCACAAUUUCUGUUUCCUUCCUUUGCUUUUCAUUUAAGCAUAUUAAAACCCACCUCGGUCGCACCGCCAGCAAAAUGGAUGCGUGUCUCUCGAGGCAGAAAUCGUCAGUGAGUCACGCUCUGGCAAGAGCCAAGCCCUUGCAAAAGGCUCAGCUGCAACCCAAAAGGUGGUGCCUGGCCGACUUACCAGUCUCCUUUUGAAGCUUUAUUUUGGCAAGGACGAGAAUAGCGAUAGUGAUGAAAAUCAGCAAAAGCAGAGCCGACAGCACAACUGGGAGCAGGUGUGAUUCACCCGAUGAGCUGGAAAGAUGAACCGUCGGAAUUAAAUUGGAUUUUGAGUUAAAGACCGGGUGGUUGAAUGGAGACUGUAGAUUUUACACCAAAGAGCACAAAAGAGUUAUAAACAGACUGAAUCAAAGGAGAACAGUCAACAAAGUCAAGCAGAAAUGAAAUUGUUUGAUCUGGAACUUGGCUUAUGAGGAAGUAAUUUCUACAGCUACCUCUGCUCAGCCAUGAGGGGCUUAUGCUGCCUGAUGAAUUAUCCCCUCCAAGAGGAAAACGUGCUUUUUUCAUCAUACAAACUCCCAAGCAGGGUUCAGACUCUUUCUCUGCAAGUUCUUGUAGGCUGUCAUGUUGUUGCAGGGUGUCUACGUGCCAUCUCCUUGUGAAAAUGCCAUAAACGCUAUCAGAGCUCGACAUGUGGAUAGAGCUUUGCCAGGAACGGUGCAAAAUCCGACCCUUUAUACAAGAGUGUGACUUAAGGAAAACAGACAGGAGCACAUCUGUUGACUCUGGCAGCUGAUCUACAGGACUGACCAGCACCAGAAGAUUUCGAGACUGGUUCAAAGAUCCUCUCCACAGAUGGACAUGAGAUAAGCUUGCCAUCUGCUUUUCUAAUUACACCUAUUUUCUAUCAGAGUUUAUAAUUUGCAACCUCUGCACAACCUAAGUAGAGGCCAGGGGAAUUGGGCAGACGGGUGCAAACCACCAAAUUUGUGUCUUGGAGAAAAGUGGCCAUGAGCUUACCUCUUGUGAUAGAUGCUGCUGCGGGAGGUCACCGAA